RNAcentral lists this long non-coding RNA (9065 nucleotides) under Podarcis lilfordi (Lilford's wall lizard). Lineage: Eukaryota; Metazoa; Chordata; Lepidosauria; Squamata; Lacertidae. The record is from RNAcentral.
GCUGAGAUUGAGAUGGCACCCCUAGGGAGAAUUGCUGCUAUAGACCCGUUAAGAGCAGGAGUCUCCAAACCCAAGACCCAGCGACUUACUCGGGGCUCUGGUAUGACCCAUGGCAACACCCGUAACUGCAUGGAACACACACUAUUGAGCCAUCUACAGGGGAGAAAGCCACUGCUCCCCAUAGCAAAAAGGGGGGCAAGAACAAAAUACAGUAGAUGUUAUCAAGGUGAAUGCAUGUGGCUCCCAUUUGCUUAUGUGCUGAGAGAUAAGAGGAAUACAUGGUGUAAUUGGUGAGGGCAGCUAGAGUGAAGAUUAACCUUAUGUGCAGACUCUGGUUCCUCCUUCAAAAGUCUGUCUCCCGUCCGUCCGCCCCCCCCCACGUCCUUUUUCACAACUCAGAUGGGGUGGGUGGGGGGAGAUUGACUACCAGAGACAGCAUUUGCAGGGAGAAAUCAGAGGGGGAGGGUAAGCUCCCUUGCUGCCCACAAAUUCCCCCCUCCCAACUCCAUCAUUAUGGGAGGAGGGAUUUACAGUAGGGGAAUCCUGUGUUUUCCUCGUAACAUUUUGUUCCAUCCUGACUCAUCACUACCUACCACUACUAUCUGGCACAGAAAACCCCACUGAUUCCUUUUGACAGCUGACUUUCUGGAAUACUUGUGCCUGGGAUCUCCAGGACAUAGUAGGGAGAUGAAUUUAUACUUCUGCUUAUCCUAUUCAUUCUAUAAAUGUUUCACUUUUUAGGAAAUGUAUAAUUCUGCUUAUCCUAUUCAUUCUAUAUAUGCUUCACAUUUUAAUAAAAUAGAUAACUUGGAGCUGCAGUAGCCAUUUUUAAUGUUAGAAAAGCAUUACAGCACAAUCCUAUCAAUGCUUACUCAGAAGUAGGACUGCAUUUAAUAGGGCUUACUUCUUGGAAAGUGUACAUGGGUUUGCAGCUUUUGCCUCUAAAAUGGGGAAAAUUAGAUACAGCAGUUUUGACAUGUUAUCCAUUAACUGGUGGUAGAAUUUAUUUUUGGAAAUUGAAUUUUAUGCAGUUGAUAUAUCAAGUGAACAAUAAGAGGUGGUUUCUGGGCAGUUGUUAGAUUGUGAAUUUGGUCCUUUGCUACAGCUUUGUACAUUUCUACUGCGAAUGUGCAAUACUAAGAGGAACGCUAAUGCAUUUCUCAGUGGUUUGCAGGUGGGAGAAAAGAGAAACCUAAAAAAAAGACUUGUGCUCACCAUCAAAUGUAUCUAACCUAACCUAUUAUGACUUCCAUGAACAGGAACGCAAUUAAAGAUGCAAGUGUUUAAAAUGUAGAAAGGAAACUGGUAGAAAAUGGUCAUUGAAACAAGCGUGGAUUGAACAUCCAGGGAAAGAGAUACCUGCAGAAAGACCAUCCGUCAAUAUAUGAUUUUUUUAAGAAAGAAAAAAAGUGACUCAGUAUGAGAGAAACCUUAAAAACAACAAAAGUCAAAGAGAAGGAAAGGCAGAGGAGCAGGAAGCCAUCAGUGAGGCUCCUAGCUGUAGGAGUGGGAAUGAGAAGUGGGAAUGAGAAGUGGAGUGUGGCUCUUUGUCUUUGUUCAUCCUUUUGCAUGAUCUCUCUUUCUCAUUUCAGCCAGACCCCACUGGCACUUCCUUUGUCUAUCAAUCCCAUUGUGUUUGGCUAUCGGGACAAAAUCCUCUUUAUCUUCAAAGAAACAAGAAAAUAAAACAUCUCAUCAGAUUUUGAAAGGUUAUCAAAAUCACACUUAGAAAGGAUUCGCAAGUCUAUGUUUUUAAAAAUUGAUGGAGAGAGGGAAUAUUUUUUAAAAUAUUUGCUUGGAAUCAAGGAGUGGAAGGAACAAAUCCUCAUGAUCCGUUUGUCAAGUCCAUGCAAUACUGCAGUGACUGGAAGUUUUGCUUUUCAAAGAAGAAAUUAAUACAUUUCCUUCAAAAUGCAGAUAUGUAUUUUUUUCUGCUUCAGUGACAAUGAGCUGUUAAAACUGCACUUUGUCAACCUAUUGUUUUCUUAACAGCAAGCUCUUAACUGCAUGCAUGAAUGAAAGAAUGAAUGAGCCUUCUGUGGAAAAUAUGCAUCAUACAACAUCACUAUUUCAGUAGAUUCAGCAAUGUCAAUAGUUGCUCAAAAUAAUAUAGUAAGAACGACUUGUGGGGCAAGGUAAGAAAAACACCAUUCAGAGAUAAAAGAAAAAGAAUCUCUUUUAAAACGGCCUUUUUAAAAAAAAAAAAAAAAGUGAAGACCAUUACUUUCUUUGUCAUAGUAAUGAAUUCUGGCUUGCACUUCCCAGGGAAAUGAGAAGCCGAAAUAGUACAUUUCUGUCUUGAUUAGAUUCGUUUUGAACACGCCAAUGCAGAUAGCUUGCCUUUUCUGCCUGACAUUAGUAAAGCUAGAUUUUUUAAAAGGAGCAAUAACAUUUUCAUUUACUAAUCAAUUUAAAGCAAGGGCGAAUAAGGGCACAAUAAGGCACACCGUGGAUAAAGAUUAAGACAGUGAGUCGGUAUUUAAAUGAGAAACCUGCUCCUGAUACUGUUAGUUACAAAAAAGCAAAAACCUUAGGGUAAAUAAAGAAAGAAAGAAGGGAGGAAUGCAGACAUUUUAAAAUACCACCACCAAUGAAGUUCUUCCUGUGCCCAGUCAGAAAGGACAAAACGAUGAAGGGGAAACUGCUCUUCAUUCUCCUGUCUUGCUAUACCAACUUCCAUUGCCAGCUGUGAAUUGCUACAGCUAAGUAAGACAAGAGGCAAGAGAGAUACCUACCGUAUUUUUCGCUCUAUAAGACGCACUUUUUCCCCUCCAAAAAUGAAGGGGAACUGUGUGUGCGUCCUAUGGGGCGACUGCAGGCUUCGCUGAAGCCUGGAGAGCGAGAGGGUCGGUGCGCAGGGACCCUCUCGCUCUCCAGGCUUCAGGAAGCUAUCCGCUAGCCAUGGGAGACCCAGCUCUCCCACGGCUAGCGGAGACCUGCCAGCACCCAGAAGCUUGGGGCGCGCUGAGCUCCGCACGCCCCAAGCCUCGGGAUUGCGCAGUGCUCCGCUAGCCCUGGGAGAGCCGCGUGGCUCUCCCACGGCUAGCGGACUGCUUGCCGGCACCCAGAAGCUUGGGCGCGCUGAGCUCCGCACACCCCAAGCUUGGGUAUUCGCGCCGCGCUCCGCUAGCCCUGGGAGAGCCCCGCGGCUCUCCCACGGCUAGCGGAGACCUUUCUGGCACCCAGAAGCUUGGGGCGCGCUGAGCUCCGCACGCCCCAAGCUUCGGGCUUAGCACAGCGCACCUGGGGGGGAAAUAAAAAAAAUUUUCCUUUAUUUCCCCCCCAAAAAACUAGGUGCGUCCUAUGGGCCGGUGCGUCCUAUGGUGCGAAAAAUAUGGUACUUAACAAGGGUUCAAAAUCUCACCGUGUAGGCCACAGGCAGCAAAUGUAUGACUGUCCAAACCUUUUUGGACUCACGCCCAUCAGCGAGCCAGCAAGGCUAAUGGCUCAGGGAUGAUGGGAGUUGUAGUGCAGCAACAUCUGGAAGGCCACAUUUUCCCCCUCCUUGAUGCAGACCAAGGUGUCUUUCAGUCUCCAACAUUCCAGCAUUUCUCAGGCUGAAGGAAGUAGAACUUUUAUUACAUCAUGAGAGGAACAGCUCUAAGGAUCCUUUCUCACAUUUGCAAUGACUCCUUCCUGGGCCAUAAAGGUAAAUGUCAGAAGCCCAGAGCUGCAUUGGAAAGGUCCAGCUGCAGACAUCCUGUUGUAUCAGAAUCAUUCUUCCUGCAAGCUUGGGCUUCUUCCUUGCCUUACAUGAACACAGCCUUAACAGUGAGUCCGUGAGUGGCUGUGGAGGCCAAUUCUGGAGACACACGUCCUUCCACAGAGGUGACAUAAGUUUUCACGUGGGCUUUGAUCACGGUGAGGGUUUGCCAAAUAUUGGCAACACCAGCAUGAGGAACAGCCAUUGUGUGGGCUCCUCCCAGGCAGCCCAGGACUUUUGGGGCACAGAAAUGAGCCACAUAACAUAAUGGUUUCCUUGCUUCAAGCCUAAGAAUAGGGUCUCGGCUGAGUCUAAAUAAUGUGAAUAAGCAGCUUCCUGUGGGGCACUUUUGCUGGCAUACGCUUUAAAGACUUUCAAAACCAACUUUCGUUUCUGUGCCACCACGGGCAUCCUUGCCUCUUGACACACAUACAAACAAAUUUAUAAGUUACUUCUACUUUGUUUAUCAGUUGAAUAGAGCAACCACAUACUAUCAUUUCAGAAAUCAGUUUACACCCCCCAAAAAAAGUGUUCAGUCCAGUUCUAAGGCAAAAGUGAUAUUCUAAUAGCCAAACCAAACAUUUUUGAAAGUGUGGUUCACUGUGAGGUACGCGUACGAUAAAAAAGGAGAAAGUAGCUACACUGUAUUGUCUCAGUUGAAAGAAAUGUGAAUGAACACUACUGGAAAAAGAUGCAAGUGGGAUCUAGACCAGGAGGGGAUAGGCUGUGGCCCCUCCAGACACUGCUGGGCUUGAACGCUCAUCAGCCCCAGCCAGCACAGUGAAUGGUUAGGGAUGACAGGAGCUUUAAUCCAACAUCUGGUGGGCCACAGGUUUUCUAUCACUGAUACAGGCUGUGGAGGAGGAAGGUGAGUGGAAUCUAGUAAGUGAAGAAAUAAGAACGUACAGUGGUACCUCAGUUUUUGAACAUCUCUGUUGACAAACAUUUCAGUUUUUGAACGCCAUAAACCUGGAAGUAAAUGCUUCAUUUUUCGAACACGCCUUGGAAGUUGAACAUGCCAUGCGGCUUCCGCUGAGUGCAGAAUCCUGAGGCCUAGCUGUUGGCUAUUGAGUUUUUGAUUUUCAAACGUUUCAGACCUCAAAUGGUCUUCCAGAACAGAUCACGUUCAAAAACUGAGGUACCACUGUAUUUUUGCAGAGCCUGGCUAGCCUCCAACUAGAAGCCCUGUGAUCUUCUAACAGAGUAUCCACAAUGAUUCUACCAGAAUUUAACUUUGUUUCAACCAGCUCUGCCUCCAGCUCCACAGCUAGACUUCCUUGCCCAACUCUACGUUCCACUUCUUGGCUUCAUUAAACUCCAGCAAUUGCCUGUCAGUCCAGCUAUAUUACUGUCUUGCAUACCCAGUAGUAUUUUUCUGGACUGGGAGGUUCUUGUUUCUGUCUUGCAGACUUCCCACUCUGCAGUGCUACCAGGUACUCCACCAGGACUAUGGAGUAGGUUCCAGACUACCCUCCCAAUUGAGCUGUUCACUUACCAUAUUUUCCGCCCUAUAGGACGCACUUUUCCCCCUCCAAAAACAAAGGGGAAAUCUGUGUGCGUCCUAUGCGGAGAAUGCAGCCUUUCGCUGAAGCUUGGAGAGCGAGAGGGGUCGGUGCGCACCGCCCCCGCUCGCUCUCCAGGGUUCAGGAAGCUAUCAGCAAGCCUGGGGAGCCCGCGGGAGUUCCCGCAGGGCUCCCUAGGCUGCAGAUAGCAGCCUGCUGCACGGAGCGGGGGGUGCGCUGAAGCAGAGCGCCCCGCACUUCGGGCAGACACCCGCAGCCUGCUGCACGGAGCGCGGGGAGCGCUGAAGCAGAGCACCCCGCGCUUCGGGCAGACAUCGGGCAGCCCCACAAGCUCAGGGGACAGCGGGGAGGCGCAGCGCCGCCAUCCCACUGUUCCCCGACCUGGUUUGGAGGCUGGCAUGGGGAGAAGCGCGUUUCUCCCCAGCGCCAGCCUCACAAGCUCGAGGGAAAGCCGGGAGGCGCAGGGCCACCACCCCACUGUUCCCUGACCUGGUUUGGAUUCCCCGACCUGGUUUUGGGGGGGAAAUAAAGGAAAAAUUGUUUUCCUUUAUUUCCCCCCAAAAAAACUAGGUGCGUCCUAUGGGCCGGUGCAUCCUAUGGGACGAAAAAUACGGUACCGGUACUUCAAUUUCGGCUUCUUGAACCCAGUCUUAGAGUACUGGUUAUUUUCAGUUUUGGUCUCAUUCACACUGAAUGAGUGUUAAAUCUCAGGUUGCUUAGCGAGCCCUAGAACUGACAUCCAGAGAACCUUUGACAGUACUGGUGCAGUGGAAAAGCAUUGCCACCACUGCUUGUCCAGCUCCAUCAUUCCAUGUUCCUCAUGCUUAAAAUGAGUAGGAAUCUAAUUCUGCUCCACAGUAAGAAACAGAAAAGGUGCAGAAAUGAUGGGACUCUAGAAGGAAUAGGGUGGGAGGUGGAAGAGUUAGCACCCUCUCCUGCUGUAUAAAGCAAUUGAGAUGGCUCAGUCAAUACAGCAUGAGACUCUUGAUCUCACAUUGGGCAAAAUAUUCCUGAAUUGCAGGGGUUGGACUUAGAUGACCCUCAUGGUCCUUUCCAACUCUAUGGUUCUACUACAUUAGGUAAGAGGUUGCAACCUGGCAAUCCUAGUAAGCCCAGCAUGUGCUUUACUCUUGGAUUGUCAACUCAUGUCUACAUUCAACAGCUUGAGUCGUGGCUUGAGCUGCUGUGUUAUCAUUAUGUGAUGGCUAUUUUACCAUCAACACAAGACCAAAAGCGAAAUUAAUAUAACAUUUAUCAUGCCACUGAGGGCUGAAUGUUCUGGGAUGGAAUGUCAUUCUCACCAAGGAAACAAGAGUUCGCUUGUGAUUAAGACUUCAUAUUUCCCUUGCUUGAAAUUUGUGGUGUGUGUGUAAGAAAGAGCAAAAGCUCCCAAAACAAUGACGACCAGAACAAUUGCUUGAAAGCAAGCUUUUUCAGUAAACAAGCAAAUAGCUAGGGCUUGUUUUUGCAAGGAUGUAUUAAAAGAAAAUAAAUGUCAAUUAAAAUAUUUUAACAUCAAAGGCAAAUUUCUCUCAAGUUACAGGCAACAAACACUUGAAUUUGAUUAUUAAAUUGAAAAAGCUUUAAUUAGCCCACGUCAGUUUGCCUUUUAAAAAAAUGAAAACAUCCUAUGCUAAAUAUACCUCUCAAGGUUUAUUUUAACAACAGUAUUUUAUACACACUCAUACAAAUUAAAUACAGUGUCCUUGAAUCCAUUUCAGAUAUACACAAAGAACUUCAGCUUUAAAAAAGAAGAAGUCCCACAGGAUCACAGAUGUCCCACAGAUGUACCUAGGAGUACACCUCACUGUACUUGACAGGGCUUACUUCCAUGUAAACAUGCAUGGGAUUGCACUGUCACUCUCGUAAUAUCUCACACAUUAGCUAGUCCUAAAGCUGAGUAAUGGAUAUAUAGCCACCAAACAGAAUUUUUUCUAACCCAGUGCUUUCCACUCUGUGCUCCUAGAAACACUACCUAGGUCUAGGCAACCUACAACCCAAGGGCCACCUAGCAGUGUAACAUGAGUUGCUGGUGCCCAGAGCACGCAAGCCGCUGACACCACCAGAGCACGCUGUUCCCCCCACUGGAGCCAAAUUACUUUCAUUUGUAACAUGUAGUUAGCCCUUAAAGGUUCACUCACAUAUGAACACACUUUAGACCACAUCACUCAAUGCUUAAGGUGAUCUUGUGAAAUGAUCAUAUAGCCACAAUGAGCCACAUUAUCAUCUUCCUCAAUGGUUUUCAAACUGUGUUUCAAGCAACCCUGUGGUUUCUCAGAAGUUAUAGCAGGGGUUCCAUAAUAUGAUGAUCAGUAACAGCAGACAAACUUCCCAGAAACACAGCUUAGGGCUUGUCAUAGAAAGCACAAGUCCAAGCAGUUUUUCAUUCGUCCCACACUUUCUAGGCACAGGUCUGAGUGGUUUUGCCUUUGCCCGCCACUUUCCCCUGGAAAACCUGCUCUUUAGCACUAAAUCAGAACAAGCAGAAAUCAGAUUGCUGAUUGUUCUGAUUCAGCGCUGGGAAAAACGACAGCGCAAAUGGAGGUGUGGGUGAGUCCUUGUUCACCACUAUCAACCAUCUGCUGCGAUGCAAAGGCAUGAGGGAGUGUUGGGAGAGUCCCAGGGAAAUGCAUUCAGUUGCAUUUGGGUGUUAAGUCUGCAUCUCAAAAUACUCCCCAGAAUCCUCUGCAAUGAACAGGGGUUCUGUGGCAGGAAUAAAGGAGGUCCCUAGAAGACAAAUGUGGAAAGGGUGUAGUAAAGGAAGAAGGCUUUAAGCUCAUAUAUCUAGCAAAGUGAUUACUCAGAGAAGCAAAGGUUCAGAAGAGACUUCCUUCUCUAUAACAGACACUCCAAAAGGGAUUGGGCCAAUAAUAGUGAAGACAAAGCCAUUGCUCUAAUCUCUCAAAAGAAGUCAAAGUGAAAGCCUCACAUGCACCCCAGCUACUUAUGUUCUCUUCCAAUGUCUGCUGUUCAUAUUUUUCUUUUUCCUGAAAUAAAAAGAAUACUAUUACAUUUUUUUGUUUAGGAUGGGCAAUGCGUGAGGCACUGUGAUCAUUCACCUCUGUCUUUACUAAAAUUCCAUUUAUAUUUCCCAGGGCAACCUUACUCUUGCAAUGAGUGAAAGGAAACCUUACUGAAAACUAAAAUCCCUUACUUUUCACUUCCUGAGAUGUGAAGCAGUCAAUAUUUUUAGUUCUGUAUCUGCUUCUCUCUCUUACCCAAGUAGAAACACAAAUCUAAAAUCAGAAGUAUUUUAGCAUUUAGUUAAUUUUGCUGUAGUAUCUCCCCCCCUUUUUUUUUGCGGGUAGGGGGACAGAAAUUAGAACUGUCUUAGUAUAGUGUCCAAAUAUACACAUUAUGUUUUUUGCCUACACAUCAAAUUAGCAGGCUCUGAAAAGGACUACAUCUUACUCUAAGAAAAUUAUUAAUCUAUGUUCCCAUUGUGUGAGACAUAAAGAAAAUUCUGUGACCUAGAAAUUACUGCAUUUAUAAUGAACUAUGUUGCAGAUAACUGUGACACUUUGCAAUUACCCACUUAUUUCCUUCUGUAUCAAAGCUAUUAACAGAACGGAGAAGGAUGCUCCAGCUUCGAGGAAAAUCUCAAGGGUGGAAUGGCUGAAAUAAUACAACGUGGAGCAGUGUGUCAUCUGCCCUUUAGCACCAUUCUGCUUCCAGAAAGCAAAGGAAAUUGGUGGAUGUGAAGGAAUGAAGGCCUGAAGCAUUUCUUAAUGACGGCUACUCAAGGUCUCAAUCAUCAGGCUAUCUUACAUUGUAUAGUCUAGAUCAAAACUACUUAACAGUUCAAAAUAAACCUUAUUAGCUGCUGCAACAUAUGAAAA